CCUGCCGGCGACCGGCGCACGGGUGAGUAACACGUAUGCGACCUGCCCCCGCAGGGGAUAACCGGGAGAAAUCCCGACUAAUACCGCGUAACGCCGCGGACCUGCAUGGGUCUGCGGCCAAAGGAAGCGAUUCCGGCGGGGGAUGGGCAUGCGGCGCAUUAGCUAGUCGGCGGGGUAACGGCCCACCGAGGCGACGAUGCGUAGGGGUUCUGAGAGGAAGGUCCCCCACACUGGUACUGAGACACGGACCAGACUCCUACGGGAGGCAGCAG
Molecule: ribosomal RNA, 272 nt
Filed under: uncultured bacterium
Lineage: Bacteria
Description: partial 16S ribosomal RNA
Rfam family: Bacterial small subunit ribosomal RNA
Source: RNAcentral